RNAcentral lists this ribosomal RNA (528 nucleotides) under Cosmolestes sp. 00001507. RNAcentral describes it as "partial 16S ribosomal RNA". It matches the Rfam family "Bacterial large subunit ribosomal RNA", at positions 1809 to 2606 of the family's 2925-position model. The record is from RNAcentral. Lineage: Eukaryota; Metazoa; Arthropoda; Insecta; Hemiptera; Reduviidae.
AAAAACAUGUCCUUUUGUUGAUUUAUAUAAGGUCUAACCUGCCCCAUGAUUAUAAUUUAAAUGGCCGCGGUAUAUUAACUGUGCUAAGGUAGCAUAAUCACUUGUCUUUUAAUUGAAGGCUAGAAUGAAUGGUUGGACGAGGUAUAAGCUUUCUUUAAUUUAAUUUUUUGAAUUUAAUUUUUUAGUUAAAAAGCUAAAAUAUAUUUGAGGGACGAGAAGACCCUAUAGAUCUUUAUUCAUGAAUAUAUUUUAUAUUUUAGUGUAUUUGUUAUUUUGAUGUGUUUAUGAAUUUGGUUGGGGUGACUGUAGAAUUGUCAUAACUUCUAUUUGUAUAUUUCAAUAAUUAUUGUUUUGUUGAUCCAUUUUUAUUGAUUAAAAGAUUAAGUUACCUUAGGGAUAACAGCGUAAUUCUUUUGGAGAGUUCUUAUCGAUAAGAGAGUUUGCGACCUCGAUGUUGGAUUAAAAUAAGUUGUAGGUGUAGCAGUUUAUAAACUAGGUCUGUUCGACCUUUAAUUUUUUACAUGAUCU